CUGAGGGGGCUCCGUGCGCUGGGUGCUGGGGAAUGGUGUGAGGUGAGAGGGGAGCGGCCCCCAUGGGAGCAGCCGGGCGCUGCCUGGCCCCGAGCCCCGCAGGGCCCGCAGGGCCCCGCCGCCUCCUCCGCCCCGCGGGGGCCGCUCCGGGCUCCGGGAGCAGCCCCGCAGCCGGUCCCGAUUCCCCUCCUCCCUCCAGCCCCGCGCGGCCCCUUUAAGGCGGCGGGAGGCUCCCGCCGGGCAGCGCCGCGUGGGAGUCACGUGGGCGGGACGUGCAGGCAGCCCAUUGGCCCGCCGCCCCCCCGCGCGCGGCAAUCAGCUGUUACUGGGGCGAAGGGCAGGGGGCGGCCUUAAAGGGGCCGCGCCGCUCCCCCAGCACCUCCCCGCACCCUGCUCAGCGCCUGGCGACGGCCGAGGCUGAAGCUGGGGGAAGGCUCCGGGGCCUCCCGCGGAGUCGCGGCGGGCGCUAGGGGCCCGGCCCGCUCGGGUGGGCCCACAGCGAGGGGUGGGGGCGCGGCCCCUUUAAAGAAGUUGUCCAGUCAUCGCGCCGCGCUGCCAAGCCGCGGGGUCAGGCGGGUUCGCGCCGCCCCGCCCCCGCCGCGCUCCCAUUGGCUGGCGGCCCCCGGCGCUCACUUGUGAUUGGCUGCCGACUUGAGGCAACUUCUGGGAAGCGGCCGGCGCCAGCCCUUAAAGGCGCCGCCCCGGCACGCAGGGAGGGGGCGGCCGGGGCAAGGCAGCGCCGCGCCCCGCGGGGACCGAGCGGCGCCGGGCCCUUUAAGCGCGCCCCCCGCGGCUCCCCUCUCCCCUCCCCCGCCGCCUCUUCGCCCUCUGGAAAAUGCCAACUCACAGCACGCGGUGCAUGCUGGGAACCCCGCGCCGCACUACAACUCCCAGCAUACCCCUCGGCGGGGAUGGGGUGGGCGUGGCCUGUUUCCUUGGCAACCGCCGGGCCGGCCGGCACCGAGCCGCGAGGAGCCGGGGCCGGGACCGGCGCUGGAAUCCGGAGCAGAUGGACCCGGCACGCCAGGAAUGUGCGGCAUCUCCCCGCCGCCCCCCCCCCCCCCCCCCCGGCCCCUCCGCCACCACCCCAAAAACCCGGCGGCGGCGGCUGGCCCCCGGCCAGGUGGGACCCUGCCAGCACGCGGAUGCCUGAGCUGCCGCCCCGCUGCCCUGCUCCUGGCUGCCCAGCACCAGUUCUUCAGUGGCAAGCUUUAUGUCCUCUUCUAGUAGCUAAAGCUGCCAGUUGAAGAACUGUUGAAUGCAGCCCCUCUCUUCUCGUCACCGAGGUGCAACCCGAGGGACCGGGAUCAGCGGCGUCCUGCGGGCUCACCCCUCCGAGAGCCGAGGAUGAGGAGGGCGGGGAUGAAGAGCGCAGCCGGCAGCAUCCAGGCAGAGCCGUGGCUGGAGGAGCUGUAAAAACGGGGCUGUAAAACGGGGAGCGGGGUGUCCCCGCCGGCCGGGGGGGUGGCGUUGAGCUGGGACAGCAGGAGAAGGCUCGGAAAGAGGCAUUAAACUUUCUGUUUUCCUCCACA
Molecule: non-coding RNA, 1532 nt
Organism: Anas platyrhynchos (mallard)
Lineage: Eukaryota; Metazoa; Chordata; Aves; Anseriformes; Anatidae
Source: RefSeq, a predicted model, not a curated record